AGUGAACGCUGGCGGUAGGCAUAACACAUGCAAGUCGAACGGCAGCACAGUAAGAGCUUGCUCUUACGGGUGGCGAGUGGCGGACGGGUGAGGAAUACAUCGGAAUCUACUUUUUCGUGGGGGAUAACGUAGGGAAACUUACGCUAAUACCGCAUACGACCUACGGGUGAAAGCAGGGGAUCUUCGGACCUUGCGCGAUUGAAUGAGCCGAUGUCGGAUUAGCUAGUUGGCGGGGUAAAGGCCCACCAAGGCGACGAUCCGUAGCUGGUCUGAGAGGAUGAUCAGCCACACUGGAACUGAGACACGGUCCAGACUCCUACGGGAGGCAGCAGUGGGGAAUAUUGGACAAUGGGCGCAAGCCUGAUCCAGCCAUACCGCGUGGGUGAAGAAGGCCUUCGGGUUGUAAAGCCCUUUUGUCGGGAAAGAAAAGCAGCAGGUUAAUACCCCGCUGUUCUGACGGUACCCAAAGAAUAAGCACCGGCUAACUUCGUG
RNAcentral lists this ribosomal RNA (492 nucleotides) under uncultured bacterium. RNAcentral's name for it is "partial 16S ribosomal RNA". It matches the Rfam family "Bacterial small subunit ribosomal RNA", at positions 29 to 507 of the family's 1533-position model. The record is from RNAcentral.